Non-coding RNA from Mycena leptocephala, 76 nucleotides. The record is from the annotation of a GenBank genome assembly. NCBI's taxonomy places the organism in Eukaryota, Fungi, Basidiomycota, Agaricomycetes, Agaricales, Mycenaceae.
GCGUCCUUGGUGUAACGGUAACACAAGAUCCAUAACAUUGUCGGAUUGGUCCGGGGUUUGAUUCCCCGAGGGCGCC